GACGAACGCUGGCGGCGUGCCUAAUACAUGCAAGUAGAACGCACAGUUUAUACCGUAGCUUGCUACACCAUAGACUGUGAGUUGCGAACGGGUGAGUAACGCGUAGGUAACCUUCCUGGUAGCGGGGGAUAACUAUGGGAAACGAUAGCUAAUACCGCAUAAUAUUAAUUAUUGCAUGAUAAUUAAUUGAAAGGUGCAAUUGCACCACUACCAGAUGGACGUGCGUUGUAUUAGCUAGUAGGUGAGGUAACGGCUCACCUAGGCGACGAUACAUAGCCGACCUGAGAGGGUGAUCGGCCACACUGGGACUGAGACACGGCCCAGACUCCUACGGGAGGCAGCAGUAGGGAAUCUUCGGCAAUGGGCGAGAGUCUGACCGAGCAACGCCGCGUGAGUGAAGAAGGUUUUCGGAUCGUGAAGCUCUGUUGUAAGAGAAGAACGGGUGUGAGAGUGGAAAGUUCACACUGUGACGGUAUCUUACCAGAAAGGGACGGCUAACUACGUG
Molecule: ribosomal RNA, 505 nt
Filed under: uncultured bacterium
Lineage: Bacteria
Description: partial 16S ribosomal RNA
Rfam family: Bacterial small subunit ribosomal RNA
Source: RNAcentral